This 497-nucleotide ribosomal RNA is filed under the name uncultured bacterium. Its description in RNAcentral is "partial 16S ribosomal RNA". It matches the Rfam family "Bacterial small subunit ribosomal RNA", at positions 28 to 507 of the family's 1533-position model. The record is from RNAcentral.
GAUGAACGCUGGCGGCGUGCCUAAUACAUGCAAGUCGAGCGAACAGACGAGAAGCUUGCUUCUCUGAUGUUAGCGGCGGACGGGUGAGUAACACGUGGAUAACCUACCUAUAAGACUGGGAUAACUUCGGGAAACCGGAGCUAAUACCGGAUAAUAUUUUGAACCGCAUGGUUCAAUAGUGAAAGACGGUUUUGCUGUCACUUAUAGAUGGAUCCGCGCUGCAUUAGCUAGUUGGUAAGGUAACGGCUUACCAAGGCAACGAUGCAUAGCCGACCUGAGAGGGUGAUCGGCCACGCUGGAACUGAGACACGGUCCAGACUCCUACGGGAGGCAGCAGUAGGGAAUCUUCCGCAAUGGGCGAAAGCUUGACGGAGCAACGCCGCGUGAGUGAUGAAGGUCUUCGGAUCGUAAAACUCUGUUAUUAGGGAAGAACAAAUGUGUAAGUAACUAUGCACAUCUUGACGGUACCUAAUCAGAAAGCCACGGCUAACUACGUG